GCCUUCGUGGUGUAAUUGUCAGCAUACUCCGUCUGAGGUUCGAGAGGUCCGAGGUUCGAGUCCCGGCGAGGGCA
This 74-nucleotide transfer RNA is filed under the name Stegodyphus mimosarum. It matches the Rfam family "tRNA". Rfam says of the family: Transfer RNA (tRNA) molecules are approximately 80 nucleotides in length. The record is from Rfam by way of RNAcentral. Lineage: Eukaryota; Metazoa; Arthropoda; Arachnida; Araneae; Eresidae.